This 86-nucleotide transfer RNA is filed under the name Clostridiaceae bacterium. RNAcentral's name for it is "tRNA-Tyr". It matches the Rfam family "tRNA". From Rfam's summary of the family: Transfer RNA (tRNA) molecules are approximately 80 nucleotides in length. RNAcentral also lists the same sequence under 1 other name. The record is from RNAcentral. Lineage: Bacteria; Bacillati; Bacillota; Clostridia; Eubacteriales; Clostridiaceae.
GGGAGAAUACCCAAGCGGCCAAAGGGGGCAGACUGUAAAUCUGUUGUCGGAUGACUUCGGUGGUUCGAAUCCACUUUCUCCCACCA